UACAGAGGGGGCAAGCGUUGUUCGGAAUUACUGGGCGUAAAGGGCGCGUAGGCGGCCAACUAAGUCGGACGUGAAAUCCCCGGGCUCAACCCGGGAACUGCGUCCGAUACUGGAUGGCUUGAAUCCGGGAGAGGGAUGUGGAAUUCCAGGUGUAGCGGUGAAAUGCGUAGAGAUGCGGAGGAACACCGAUGGCGAAGGCAGCCCCCUGGGCUAGCACUGACGCUCAGGCACGAAAGCGUGGGGAGCAAACAGG
Molecule: ribosomal RNA, 253 nt
Filed under: uncultured bacterium
Lineage: Bacteria
Description: partial 16S ribosomal RNA
Rfam family: Bacterial small subunit ribosomal RNA
Source: RNAcentral